GUGUGUGUGUGUGUGUGUGUGUGUGUUGUAGAGGAAAGUCUUAAGUAUAUAACGGUCUAGGUUUUAUAUAUUUGAAUGCUUAAGAAAAAAAAAUCACAGUGAAAGGGAGAAAAGUAGGUUAGGUGAAAGUACAUACAGUUAUGAAAGAAUUAAGGGAACUCGGCAAGGACUGUUACAUGGGUGCUGCUUGCCGAGUGAUGGUGUGAAGAAAUAAUAGAUAAACAGAUAAGAGGAUAAUAAUAAUAGAAAAGAAGAGGAAGAAGAGAAAAAAGAAGAAGAAGGAGAAGAAGAAGAGGGAGAUGAUGAAGACUAGGAAAAUAAAUGAUAAUAAUAGUAAUGUGUUUUGAGUGCCUAAUUAUGCCUAUAGCUAAUGAAAAAAGAAACUGUAAUAUGCAAGGAGUCUAGAGGAAAAGGCACCAUAAAAAUAAAAAAUAAAAAAACAAAUAAAGUCAGAAUUCCCCCUCAAAAAGACAUACAUACCAAACAUAAUCAUUAAAGUCAUAUUUGUGAUUUUAUUUUACUUCUCUAUUUAUUUUAUUAUUUAUCUAUUUAUUUCAUUAUUUAUCUAUGUAUUUUUUUUUUCGAGGGGGGAGGUAAGGACAAGAUUAUGGGUGGACACUUAUAAAUACAUUAGCUUUCUUUGGGGUUGAAUUUCUUCCUUAUUUGACAGCAUCACAACCUUUUGAGGAAGCGACCUUUAAACGAGACAAACUUCAACUCCGGUAAGUAAAAAAACACACCCACAAAUUCCCUUUCACCCCAACCGGAGACUCAAACAAGCGCGGUAAAAUUUAGCAAUAUAUUGGCUGGUUGUUGGCAUCAAUACAUUUUUAAUACAGUCAUGACAGUAAUGAUAGUAACAAAAAAUAAUGGUUUCGGAACACUAUCGCUAAAGACAUCAGAUGAAACAAUGCACGAGCUAUCCUACAAAGGGGAAUACGUACAUAGCCUUGAUAGAAUUUGCACUCACACGACAGUUACAGUGGUUGCCUGCAUUGUUAGGUACGAACGAGCUAGUAUUUUUUGUCUCGGUAUCACAAAUAUGUUGAGUAAAUAUAUAUUUGUAAGGUCAUCUAAGUAAGGAGGGUGAGGAAUGACAGAGGACUUCACCUUUCAUUCUUACUCCUUCCCGAGGCCUUAAAUGUACAUCUAUAAGGUCAUCUAAUAAGGAGGGUGAGAAAUGAGGGUUCAGCAUCCCACUAAUAAGUAAGACUCGACAGCUGACUUCAUCUUCCACUCUUACUCCUUCCUGGACCUUAAACAUAUUUCUAUAAGGUCAUCUAAGUAAGGAGAGUGAGGAAUAAGGGUUCAACGUCCCACCAAUAGAGUUGACAUAACUUCACCUCCCAUUCUUUUACUCCUUCCCGUGACCUACACUUUCUUUAGCCUAAUAUUUCAUAACUAGAAUAUAAUUGGAUCACCUUCAGAAUUGAAAGCUCUAUUUGACUCAUUUUUGUAUUCUUUCUUAGGGUCAGCAACAAUGGUAUUUUUCAGUGUUGUUUAUCAUUCUAUUUUACUUUUUAUAAAUCUCAAAACCAAGCAGUCAAUCGUCAAAUCUAUAGCAUGAAACUUAAGUACCAUUUUUGAAGAUCCUGGGAAAGCUUGUGUCAAUGUAACUCUAUAUAUAGGUAAUUUUAGAAUUAAUAACUAUCUUGAGAAUUUUAGAAAUGAAUAAAAAAAAAGGGUACCCAGUAUAAACCACACAAUAAAUGAACUGUAUUUCCUGACAGACGAUGCUCGCUUUAUGCUCUUGAACACUGGCUGGAGAGGUCUUGGCAGCUCAAAACAGUAAGGUCAUCACAGACAAUCAAUAUAAAACCAGUAAUCUCCUUGGAUGAAUAUGACUUUUAUAUCUUUAUCACACUAACAAUUUCUUUAAAAGUGUCCAGAUAAUUGUUAUAUAAAAUGGAAGUCAGGAAAGGCUGCAUAGGUCUGUUUUUUUGUUGUUGUUUUUUGUUAUUCUUGGCCACACUUUUUUGUAAUCAUGCUUUUUUUCAAGUUUUCUCCAUCAAAUUAGAAUGCUUCAGCCGAGCUCAUGCACACCAUCUGCCAGGAACCCCCCAUACUCCAGACUAACUAGGAAAUGCACCUACGAACACUAGACACAAAAAUACCAAUUAAGCU
This is a long non-coding RNA of Eriocheir sinensis (Chinese mitten crab), 2124 nucleotides long. RefSeq lists it as uncharacterized. Lineage: Eukaryota; Metazoa; Arthropoda; Malacostraca; Decapoda; Varunidae. The record is from RefSeq and is a predicted model, not a curated record. The transcript is spliced from 2 exons.